GACGAACGCUGGCGGCGUGCUUAACACAUGCAAGUCGAACGAUGAAGCCGAGCUUGCUCGGUGGAUUAGUGGCGAACGGGUGAGUAACACGUGAGCAACCUGCCCCUAACUCUGGGAUAACGCUUCGAAAGGAGUGCUAAUACCGGAUAUGAGCCUGGAAGACAUCUUCUGGGUUGGAAAGUUUUUCGGUUAGGGAUGGGCUCGCGGCCUAUCAGCUUGUUGGUGAGGUAAAGGCUCACCAAGGCGACGACGGGUAUCCGGCCUGAGAGGGCGACCGGACACACUGGGACUGAGACACGGCCCAGACUCCUACGGGAGGCAGCAGUGGGGAAUAUUGCGCAAUGGGCGAAAGCCUGACGCAGCGACGCCGCGUGAGGGAUGAAGGUCUUCGGAUUGUAAACCUCUUUCAGCAGGGACGAAGCGAAAGUGACGGUACCUGAAGAAGAAGCACCGGCUAACUACGUG
Molecule: ribosomal RNA, 465 nt
Filed under: uncultured bacterium
Lineage: Bacteria
Description: bacterial SSU rRNA
Rfam family: Bacterial small subunit ribosomal RNA
Source: RNAcentral